CAGUAGCCGCGGUAAUACAGAGGGUGCGAGCGUUAAUCGGAUUUACUGGGCGUAAAGCGUGCGUAGGCGGCUUUUUAAGUCGGAUGUGAAAUCCCUGAGCUUAACUUAGGAAUUGCAUUCGAUACUGGGAAGCUAGAGUAUGUGAGAGGAUGGUAGAAUUCCAGGUGUAGCGGUGAAAUGCGUAGAGAUCUGGAGGAAUACCGAUGGCGAAGGCAGCCAUCUGGCCUAAUACUGACGCUGAGGUACGAAAGCAUGGGGAGCAAACAGGAUUAGAUACCCGCGUAGUCCCUGUCUCUUAUAC
RNAcentral lists this ribosomal RNA (301 nucleotides) under uncultured bacterium. RNAcentral's name for it is "partial 16S ribosomal RNA". It matches the Rfam family "Bacterial small subunit ribosomal RNA", at positions 509 to 807 of the family's 1533-position model. The record is from RNAcentral.